This 1087-nucleotide ribosomal RNA is filed under the name Bacillus pumilus. RNAcentral's name for it is "bacterial SSU rRNA". It matches the Rfam family "Bacterial small subunit ribosomal RNA", at positions 164 to 1238 of the family's 1533-position model. The record is from RNAcentral. Lineage: Bacteria; Bacillati; Bacillota; Bacilli; Caryophanales; Bacillaceae.
UAAUACCGGAUAGUUCCUUGAACCGCAUGGUUCAAGGAUGAAAGACGGUUUCGGCUGUCACUUACAGAUGGACCCGCGGCGCAUUAGCUAGUUGGUGGGGUAAUGGCUCACCAAGGCGACGAUGCGUAGCCGACCUGAGAGGGUGAUCGGCCACACUGGGACUGAGACACGGCCCAGACUCCUACGGGAGGCAGCAGUAGGGAAUCUUCCGCAAUGGACGAAAGUCUGACGGAGCAACGCCGCGUGAGUGAUGAAGGUUUUCGGAUCGUAAAGCUCUGUUGUUAGGGAAGAACAAGUGCGAGAGUAACUGCUCGCACCUUGACGGUACCUAACCAGAAAGCCACGGCUAACUACGUGCCAGCAGCCGCGGUAAUACGUAGGUGGCAAGCGUUGUCCGGAAUUAUUGGGCGUAAAGGGCUCGCAGGCGGUUUCUUAAGUCUGAUGUGAAAGCCCCCGGCUCAACCGGGGAGGGUCAUUGGAAACUGGGAAACUUGAGUGCAGAAGAGGAGAGUGGAAUUCCACGUGUAGCGGUGAAAUGCGUAGAGAUGUGGAGGAACACCAGUGGCGAAGGCGACUCUCUGGUCUGUAACUGACGCUGAGGAGCGAAAGCGUGGGGAGCGAACAGGAUUAGAUACCCUGGUAGUCCACGCCGUAAACGAUGAGUGCUAAGUGUUAGGGGGUUUCCGCCCCUUAGUGCUGCAGCUAACGCAUUAAGCACUCCGCCUGGGGAGUACGGUCGCAAGACUGAAACUCAAAGGAAUUGACGGGGGCCCGCACAAGCGGUGGAGCAUGUGGUUUAAUUCGAAGCAACGCGAAGAACCUUACCAGGUCUUGACAUCCUCUGACAACCCUAGAGAUAGGGCUUUCCCUUCGGGGACAGAGUGACAGGUGGUGCAUGGUUGUCGUCAGCUCGUGUCGUGAGAUGUUGGGUUAAGUCCCGCAACGAGCGCAACCCUUGAUCUUAGUUGCCAGCAUUUAGUUGGGCACUCUAAGGUGACUGCCGGUGACAAACCGGAGGAAGGUGGGGAUGACGUCAAAUCAUCAUGCCCCUUAUGACCUGGGCUACACACGUGCUACAAUGGACAGA